This 937-nucleotide ribosomal RNA is filed under the name uncultured archaeon. Its description in RNAcentral is "bacterial SSU rRNA". It matches the Rfam family "Archaeal small subunit ribosomal RNA", at positions 1 to 919 of the family's 1478-position model. The record is from RNAcentral.
UUCCGGUUGAUCCUGCCGGACCUUACUGCUAUCGGGGUGGGACUAAGACAUGCGAGUCGAGCGUCUCUAGCUAUGUUGAGACGCGGCAGACGGCUCAGUAACACGUGGCUAACCUACCCUCAGGACGAGGAUAAACCCGGGAAACUGGGGCUAAUACUCGAUAGGUGAGAAUGUCUGGAAUGGUUUCUCAUUCAAAGGGCUUUAGAAACAUGCUUCUAAAGUCGCCUGGGGAUGGGGCCGCGUCCGAUCAGGUUGUUGGUGAGGUAACGGCUCACCAAGCCUAUAACCGGUACGGGCCGUGAGAGCGGUAGCCCGGAGAUGGGUACUGAGACAAGGACCCAGGCACUACGGGGCGCAGCAGUCGCGAAAACUCCGCAAUGCACGAAAGUGUGACGGGGCUACCCCGAGUGCCAUCCGCUGAGGAUGGCUUUUCUUUGGUGUAACUAGCCGGGGGAAUAAGGAGAGGGCAAGACUGGUGUCAGCCGCCGCGGUAAUACCAGCUCUCCGAGUGGUAGGGAUGAUUAUUGGGCUUAAAGCGUCCGUAGCCGGCUUAGCAAGUCUCCUGUUAAAUUCAGCGACCUAAUCGUUGAGCCGCGGGAGAUACUACUAGGCUAGGAGGCGGGAGAGGUCGACGGUACUUCUGGGGUAGGGGUGAAAUCCUAUAAUCCCGGGAGGACCACCAGUGGCGAAGGCUGUUGACUAGAACGCGCUCGACGGUGAGGGACGAAAGCUGGGGGAGCGAACCGGAUUAGAUACCCGGGUAGUCCCAGCCGUAAACGAUGCGGGCUAGGUGUUGGGGUGGCUACGUGCCACUUCAGUGCCGCAGGGAAGCCAUUAAGCCCGCCGCCUGGGGAGUACGGCCGCAAGGCUGGGAACUUAAAGGAAUUGGCGGGGGAGCACACAAGGCGUGAAGCUUGCGGUCAUUGGACUCAACGCG